CCCUUAGAUGUUCUGGGCUGCACGCGCGCUACACUGAUGCGUUCAACGAGUUUAUGACCUUGCCCGAUAGGGUUGGGUAAUCUUUUUAAAUCGCAUCGUGAUGGGGAUAGAUUAUUGCAAUUAUUAAUCUUCAACGAGGAAUUCCUAGUAAACGCAAGUCAUCAGCUUGCAUUGAUUACGUCCCUGCCCUUUGUACACACCGCCCGUCGCACCUACCGAUUGAAUGGUCCGGUGAAAUCUCGGGACGGCGGCUUGGUCGCUUGCGUCCGACUGCUGAAACUUGAUUAAACCAUAUCAUUUAGAGGAAGGUGAANUCGUAACA
RNAcentral lists this ribosomal RNA (322 nucleotides) under uncultured eukaryote. RNAcentral's name for it is "partial 18S ribosomal RNA". It matches the Rfam family "Eukaryotic small subunit ribosomal RNA", at positions 1470 to 1796 of the family's 1831-position model. The record is from RNAcentral.